RNAcentral lists this ribosomal RNA (522 nucleotides) under uncultured bacterium. RNAcentral's name for it is "partial 16S ribosomal RNA". It matches the Rfam family "Bacterial small subunit ribosomal RNA", at positions 355 to 863 of the family's 1533-position model. The record is from RNAcentral.
UGGGGAAUCUUCCGCAAUGGACGAAAGUCUGACGGAGCAACGCCGCGUGUAUGAUGAAGGUCUUCGGAUUGUAAAGUACUGUCAUUGGGGAAGAACGGUUUUCUUGAAAAGGAUUGAGAAGACAUGACGGUACCCAAGGAGGAAGCCCCGGCUAACUACGUGCCAGUAGCCGCGGUAAUACGUAGGGGGCAAGCGUUGUCCGGAAUUAUUGGGCGUAAAGGGGCGCGUAGGCGGGCCUUUAAGUCCGGUGUGAAAGAUCAGGGCUCAACCCUGAGAGUGCAUCGGAAACUGGAGGCCUUGAGGACAGGAGAGGAAAGUGGAAUUUCCACGUGUAGCGGUGAAAUGCGUAGAUAUGUGGAGGAACACCAGUGGCGAAGGCGACUUUCUGGACUGUAACUGACGCUGAGGCGCGAAAGCGUGGGGAGCAAACAGGAUUAGAUACCCUGGUAGUCCACGCCGUAAACGAUGAGUGCUAGGUGUAGAGGGUAUCGACCCCCUUCUGUGCCGCAGUUAACACAAUAA